This 2239-nucleotide long non-coding RNA is filed under the name Lupinus angustifolius (narrow-leaved blue lupine). RNAcentral's name for it is "long non-coding RNA (LANG_LNC000481)". The record is from RNAcentral. Lineage: Eukaryota; Viridiplantae; Streptophyta; Magnoliopsida; Fabales; Fabaceae.
UUACUUUUAAAGAAAAAUAAAAAAAUAUUCUUACGUUAGUAUUAGUUUAUCCUCUAUUAUCUAAAUUUCAUACUCCCGAAUACGGGAGAAUAUUUUAUUCUUUUUCUCUUCUCUUCCUCCCAAUUCCUAACUCUUUGAUCUCUCAUUCAUUUUUCCUCGUAACUCCCAAAUAUAUCACAAUUAUUGUUCUCUUAAGCUAUGAGAUGGUUGUUUGAUGCCAUGCAAGUUGUGGGCCAUCAACCAAAAUGUCACGUCUGCGUCAAGAUUCAAAUCCUUGAUAAUAAAUAAGCACUAUGCCAUCAGGUCUGACAAUAAAAUGUAAGGAAUUGGGAUAUGGAUCCGCGGUAGUGAAUUUCUUGGGUAGAUUAUGUCAUAUAUUAGAAAGUGGAUGCAAUCAAAUGAAAGAUGCCGCCUAACUAUCUAUUGUUAGGAAAUCUUUUGAUAUAUUAGAAUAUUUAUACAAAAGCUUAUCAAAAAUCGUUCUCUUCUAUACUUAGUAAAACUGGACCUUGGAGCUUCCUUAGAAAGCUCAAUCGUUAUCAUCAUUGUCUACUCCACAAAUUCUAGUUCAAAAGAACUAUCAUACUCCACCAUAAAGAGUAUACUCACAGCACACACCUUGCGUCAAUGUUAACUAAUGUCUCUGUCACAUCUUUGCAUCCAAACUAAUGAUCAUGUCACACCCUUGCAUCUCUACAAAUGUCCGUGUUACAACUUGCAUCAAAGCGAAUACCCAUAUUACACUCUACAUCAAAGUCAGUCACCGCCUCUGUACUUUUGUGAAUCUGCUAACAAUUAACAUCCUUCAAAUGAGAACAUUUUCUUAACAUCUAGAGAGAACACAUUUUGUCUAGCCAUCACACCUUCACCCUCUUUAGUCAUUAUCUGACAUCUGAGUUAAGAGUCAUCUUCCAAUUGGUUAUGAUAACAAUUGUUGGUGCAGCGGAAGUGAUCGUUGUGCAACAUUAGCCACAAAAAUCAAAUAAAUGCAUAAAAUAAAUAGAAGAAAAGAAACAAGAGAAUUUGUUAACGGGAUUCGGCCAAUUGUGCCUACGUCCCGGGAGCGCUGAUCGGCUACCAAGAUAUUAUUAUAGAGAAAAGAUUACAAACUCUAGCACACCCAUGGGCCCACCUGCCCAUGAGGUGUUUCUAUUUGUUGCUUAUAUUUGGUGCACGUUACAAUAAGGGAGCUGAGUCCAAUAUAUAACAUUGACAUUAUAGUCUAUUCUAAUGUUAGGCAAUGUGAGACUUCAUAUAAUAACAUAUUUCAAGCAUCCCCAACAAUAACUUAGAAUAAUAUUUUUUAGUUGAAAUGCUAGUAUCUAGCAACUCUUUAUGAAUUUGACAAUCCAUUACUCUAUACUUGUUUGCAACAUUGAGGUAGCAUUUUAUAUAUCUAUCUGUCGGUUAGAAGCAACAAUGGUGCUAUAUAGGCAUGAUUUUUUUAAUAUAUUAUCUACAAUUUUUGAAGCCCACAAUGAGAAGUCCACAUGGCCAAACAAAUUGCACAAAUAGAAAAAUUUGCUCAGAAAAAAUAGUUAUCACAAUUCAUAAAUUAGAAAUUACAACUUUGAACAACAUAACAAAAUGUGAGAGUUUAUGUUUCAUACACAAGCAAAUCCUUGCCCUCAAACGUCAUUUCAUUACCUUCAAACGUCAUUUCAUUGCCUUCAAACACUAUUUUACUGUGUAACUUAUUGGUUUUUAAUAUAACCCUUUAGACUUUGUUUGAGAAUGAGGUUUUGGAGGGAAAUGAUGGCUUUGAAAAGUCUUUUCCUUGUUUGGGAGUUGGAUGAAGGAGAAGGGAAGGUUUUGGAGGGUCCUCCAAAACUCUCUAUGUGUCUAUUUUUAAAGUUCUCCCAAUUUGGAAUUUUUUAGAGAUAAAAUGUCAAAAUGUCAAAAUAUUUUUAGUAAUAUUAUAUAAUUAUACAUUAUUGUCCAUUUCUCAUUGUUAAUUACAUUUUUAAGAUAAAAUAAAAUAAAAUCUUAAUUUAUCAUUAGUUUACCCUCCUCAUCUAAAUUUCAUACUCUCAAACAAAGGGGGUGAUUUCCUUCAUUUUUCCUUCCCUUCCCCCCUUCCUAACCCAUUGAUCCAUCCCAUUUUUUCCCUCGCAACUUCCAAACAAAGCCUUAUUGUUUUCCAUUUCAUUGUUUCUAUUAUGCAUUUCAUUUUUCCAUUGUAUGUUUAACAUAGUUUAUAUUUCAUUGCCUUCAAAUAUUGUUUGUCUUUAUUUCUUAU